UCUUUGAGGUCUGCAUUUUUUUUGAUGUGUGGUUAUGCAUCACUGACAGUUCUCCAUGAGGACACACAUGCUGAAAAAAAUCAACUUGAAAGGAGGAAGGGAAGUUGCAAUUACCAAGUCUAGCAGGACAAGCGCUAGUCGAAAUGUAAGAGAUGUCUAGUAGAGGACCCCAAUGAAGUAGCACAUAGGUAUAUUUGCGUUUCUCCUUCCUGGGGAUAGCCUCUCUGCAAUUAUAAGGAAAUAUGACAAGCAGCAGUGCCUGUGCAGACAGCAGCAGAAGAAAGGCACCACUAGGGAUUAGCUAGCCCGAAGCUGCAGCCAGAGCACAGCUGGCUCAGCCUCAAAAUUAAGUGCCUUCAGUCAGGUGGGUAAAGGGAAUCAUCCCCGAAGUGUGGCAGAGCACACUAAAAGGGACUCCAAUGCAUAGACUGGUUGGUUGUUUUUUAAUCUGACACUGCGUAUUACUGGGACAGCCCAGGAUUUCCUGACUGCACUGAAUUCCUCCGUAAAAGGACAGAACAGCCUGCUGUUGGGCAAGUGCAGCUCGAUCCGCUUGCUUUCUCUUAGUGAAGAAGCCAGGAAAUCUGCAAUCCGUUCAACACUAGUUGCUGGCCUUCCAAUGACCUUGUCUCCACCACAGCCCCAAAGCACUACCCAAGUGAAAACAGACCUGCAGGACGCUGCCGCAAUCUACUAUUGUGCUACACACCUACAUGAGACCUCAGGUGUUUGCUAGGGAACCAGAUAAGAGCUACUGAAAAACUAUUGCUAGCAGUAUCCAAAAAAAAAAAACCUA
Long non-coding RNA from Struthio camelus australis, 796 nucleotides. RefSeq lists it as uncharacterized. Lineage: Eukaryota; Metazoa; Chordata; Aves; Struthioniformes; Struthionidae. The record is from RefSeq and is a predicted model, not a curated record.